UUUGAUCUCGAAUUACAUUCGACUAAAGACGACGAAUUGACGGAAUUAUCCAUAUUUCGUUUUGUUUUAAUUGUUUCGUGUAAUCACUAGAGUUAGCAUAAUUAUUUGUAGAGUGGAUGCAUAAGACAUUUCUAUUUUCUAAGGUAUACAAUGUUUUAUAAAACUUGUGAAAUAUGUGGAGUAAAAUCUGGCCGUUCUGAUGGGAGUAAGAGAAUUUUCAUGGCUAAAUUCCCUGUGGAUGAAGAAAGAUGUAAACAAUGGGUUAAAUUUACGGGCAAAGAAGACCUGGUGUAUGUGCCAAUUGAAAAACUACACCAAUUAAAGCAAGUUUGUGGCAGACAUUUCUUAACAACUGAUUUUAACAGGAAAAAGACACAGUUGAGAAGAAGUGCUGUCCCUUCAGUAGAAUUAACUCGGACACCAUUAGCAGAUGAACUUUUUAUUGAUUUCCCUCUACACAUUUUUAGGAGUGAACUAAUGGUUUUGGCAUCUGCUGGAAUGGAGCAUAACUACUGUGGUCUCUUUUAUAGUCCACAAAUUGCAAAUGUAUCACCAAUCAACAAAAGCUCAACAAUACAGAGAAGGAGUUCUACUUCGGAUUUAGGCGCAAAUGGAAACAUAAUUAAAAAAAUUAGACUUAGCCCAUUAACUUCAACGCCAACUGCCGAAUUAUUGCCAGUGAUUGACAGUUCUCUGAAGAAGGAAAGAUGUAUUGUCACAGAUUCAGAAGCCACGCCUGCGAAUUCAAUAACAUUAAUUGUUACACCUGAAAAACAAAAACCUACGACAGCAAAAAUUGUACAAAAAAAAAUCAUCACCAUUAUUGAAAAGUCUCACAGAAUCAACUGUAAGAAAUGAUAAAAGGAAAUUUAAAGGUCGUUGCUGGACUGAAUCAAAUCACUGUGUUCAUGUGGGUCAAGGAAAUGACACUUAUGAAUGUUAAAAGUUUCGUUUUAUUAUCUACAUUCGGAAAGAGUUGAGCUUUAAUUAGAAGAAGUGGCAAGAAACUCAGUCAUACUCUUUAAAAUCAACAUUUAGAGCUUAAUCUGUUUACAAAUUAAAUAAAAUUAUGGCACAGGCCUUCUAUAAAUAUAUAAGCCAACUAUUAUCGAUGCCAAUUGUGCGAAAAUUGCAGACAAUUUUAGGGAAAAUUAUGAUAGAGCCGGGUGUUGGUCAUUGCAUUAUGAAUCAUUUGAGAGCAAAAGAUGAAAAACUAAAUGAUGAAGAUAGAAAUUGUAUUAUUUUAUUCGACGAAAUGGCAUUAAAAAGUAGACUUUUCAUAAUAGUGCAGCAGACAAAAUAAUUGAUUGUUACGAAGAUCUGGGCGACGAAGGUGGACGGUCUGCAAAAUUUGCAGAUCAUGCCUUUGUAUUCAUGCUUCAAGGCAUGUUUAAAAAUAUUAAGCAGGCGAUUGCACAUUAUUCGACAAGGCCAUUGUUAG
Leptidea sinapis is the source of this 1441-nucleotide long non-coding RNA. RefSeq lists it as uncharacterized. NCBI's taxonomy places the organism in Eukaryota, Metazoa, Arthropoda, Insecta, Lepidoptera, Pieridae. The record is from RefSeq and is a predicted model, not a curated record. The transcript is spliced from 7 exons.